Molecule: long non-coding RNA, 462 nt
Filed under: Helianthus annuus (common sunflower)
Lineage: Eukaryota; Viridiplantae; Streptophyta; Magnoliopsida; Asterales; Asteraceae
Description: hypothetical non coding rna
Source: RNAcentral
UGAAAUCAGCAACCAAAACUCUUAUUAAAACACUUGAACACUGAAACAAUCACGAACAUAACAAACUCACACACUCUUACACUCCUAACACAUACAGAUCAUCAAGUUGAUGAUCUGAUAUACAACUUGACUCACGAUACAAGAUCUAAACACUAGAUCUUUACAAACGAAGGAAAUCAAGACAAACCCUAGGAGAGAGAACGACGUGUUACAGAGAAAUAUCUAGAACAAUGAUUAUUUCAAUGUACACAGACUUGUAACCAGUUCACUUAUAUGGAUCAGUCAUCAACUUGUUUGUUAAGUCGGUCAGAUAUGUAAAGCCCAGUAGUCCAGCAGCCCAAUAGUCCAUAUGUAAAGCAAGAGCAGUCCAGUAGUCCAUAUGUAAAGCCCAGCCAGUCGUCAUAUGUUCGUCAUAUGUAAAGCCCAGUCCAAGAUCAAAAUAUAACCCCUCAUGUUGACUAC